UAGCCGAUAUUCCACAGAAGAGGGCCAA
RNAcentral lists this small RNA (28 nucleotides) under Bombyx mori (domestic silkworm). RNAcentral's name for it is "ovarian small RNA-22368". The record is from RNAcentral. Lineage: Eukaryota; Metazoa; Arthropoda; Insecta; Lepidoptera; Bombycidae.